GCUUCCGACUCCACUUUAUCCUGUUUUCCGUGGACUGGACUCCCGUCAGUGCGCAGCUGUUGUUGGCACUCCCACAUCUGCUUCUCUCCGCUCGGCAGCCAUAUAGAGAAGACGCACAGCCGCGGUUCGUGUUAGUAGCGUGCUGCGACUCGAUCCAACCAGCCUUUCAGUGCGGGCGUAAUCACUGCGCACACACACGACGCCUGUUUUACCGUCUGAUCGGCUUGCAGUCAGCCUGGUAGAGGAAGACGAAGAAAGCAGAAAAAAGGCGAAGAAGGAGCGAUCUUUUCUUAUCGUUUGGUGACAGGUGGAUGUGGAUCCCGGAGAUUACUGGUACUCCCUGUGGAUUCAUCCACAGCGCUGCAGACAGAGACACACAGGACGCUGGGAGGAUCCAGAAGGGAACCAACAACAGGACAGGUUAUGUGUACAGACUGGAUUGUCGUCAUUAUCAUUUCUAGGGAGGUUAAUUUUCAGGCCACAUGGAAAUUUAAUAGCAUUACUCAGUCAUUUAGAUAACUGAUAUUACUGAUGCCUAUCCUAAGUGACUCAUAUGUUUUUACAGUGGGUGUUUUUCAGUCCACCGUGUCUGAGACUAAAUAUAAAGCAGUAAAAAGAAACAAAAAAAAAAAGAUGAAAGAACAACCAGUACCUGGGGGAUCUUGUGAGGACAGUUGGGUUGUGUCCCACUUUUUUCUGCUGCUUUGUGUUGUGUGCUCUUCUCCAGUUACACCGAUGGAAAAAGCAGAUUGUUGGGGGGGCUUGACAGGACUUCAUUGUGCUCCCGGUGGCUUCGCUCCAUUGCCCUCUACUGUGCUGCGUAUGGACUGUGACGACCACAUGGUGCCAUUUUCCCUGCCCUGUACCUUCAGAAGAGAGAAUCCGUGUUCCAGUGUUUUCCUACUGAGAGAUGACUUCUGCUUUUGCAAAUCAGUGCAAACAGUAUUUCACUUGUUGCUUCGUAGUCAACAUCAGUGUGCUCAGAUUUAGCAGGGAGCUUUUUCAUGGGUGUUGUGCAGAAUAAUUUGCUGCAGUGCGAUUUUUUUUUUGUAAGUAAUAAGCACAUCCUGGCCCGUUCUCUGACUUUAUUUUGCUGGUCAAAAACACUGAUUCUGUAGCCAUUGACCAUCACUCAUGCAUUUUUCCUUUAGCUGCCACGUGCAGUGACCCAUACUCUUUCUAACCCUCUCACGGUUUCUUCCUGUAUAAGAUACUUCACUCAAAGCGAGCAGCGUUUCAGCGAGACUUUUUUGUGUCUUUUCAUAGCUGGAGUUUAUCUAUGCCAGAUUUGUGCAAAGCUCUGAUAUUUGAAAAAAAAGCUGCUAAAGUGUGUGAAAAUGACAAGUUCCCAAUGUGCAAUUCACACAGUAUGUUUUUGUUUGUGCGGAAACCUCUAAAGUGGAUCACACUUGUGUGUGUGUGCGUGUUACGGGGGUGUGUACGUGAGUGCACGUGUUUCUUUGCAUGUACCCUAUACGUAUGUCUGCAUGUGUCUCUUAUCAGUCAGAUGAAAUGUAUUUGUAACGGGCCUUAAGCUAAAAGCUGCUUUACUGUGAUUUUUGUUUUCACAGCUGCUCAAUCAAUAACAGGCCUAUAUUCUUUUAGCCACUGGAUGUACCAGAUAAGGGAUAAAACAACAUUUACAAAUGGUUCUUAGCAUUUGUUACAACCUCACUGAAGUAGCAGUUAUUAUACUGAUUUAGAUCACAAGGAUGCCAUUGGAAAUUAAUGGUCUGUAGUUUUCUAAACGAUGCCCGCUGGCAAUAAUUAAGUUGUCCCGAUGCCUACAGUCCUAUCAUUUCACACUGAAGCCAAUUACAGCAAAUGCUAAUAAUUAUGUGUAAAUAGAUUUUUACCCACAUCUGGGUUGUACUAACAGUAUCUCACUAAUAUCUAACAGUACUAAUAUAUGUGCUAACAGUUGGAGGAUUACUAACCUGUAUUGAGAAUGCUGUUGGCUGGCAUUUCUAACCCUAACUUGACUAACCCUCUGCUUUCUGCCCGCAGUCUGCAGCGCAUAUACUCCCUUUGCAUGAUCUUGCAUCCCUUCUUUUAGAAGUUUAGAUAAAUCGUUAAAGUCGGGAAAAACGUUGCACUGAGCAUGUCGAGAAGGCUUUCGGGACUUGGAAAGGAAAAAAAAGUGAUUAAGCUCAAGGUGAAAAGACAAGCGGGAACAGCUGCUGACAUCAAACUGGGUUGACCGCACACUUAUGAGCAACCGACGCAAAACCGAUUGCGAUCAGAUUCAGAGAGGUCAGUCUUUACGUUUGUACGUGCUCUGUGCGGUCAACCUGCAGGUGAGUGCCUGGCUUGUUGUCAGCUCGGGCGGUGCUGUCAGACAGAAGCUGAGCACACCUCAGUACUAACUCCUGAUUGGUGCUGAUACUAACAGUCCUGAUCCUGUAAAUGUCCAUCUUACUAAUGUCUUUGUUUGCUGUUCUUUACUAAACUUUGAGUAAAUCAAAGCAUGUCCAGCAAUACCACUGGACAGACCUACUAUGAACAACAGUCAUCAACAUUCAUCAAAACAAUUCACUAACCCAAAAGAAGAGUGUUGAACAGCUCUCUACAAACUAACAAACUAACCUACUAAUGAACACAUAACCUAACAAAAACUAACUAGAAUCAAUAACUUUCUGCUCAAAAUUGUUGAAGCGCCCCAGAAUUGAGGAGAUGCGUCACUUACUAACAGAGUGAAAUUCAACAACGUGCUUGAAUGUGUGUGAGAGGGAGAGAGAAGAGCGAGUGUGUGUUUGCACAAGAGGUGUAUUUGUGUGGAAAUGCAAAAUAUGUUGCAAACUGGCUGUGAGCACUGCGAAAACCUCCAAAUACUCUUGCAGCCUGAAUCUAAUCCUUGAACCUCUCAGUUUAUGUAUUAUGUGAAAGCAGCAUGUUAAUGAAUGUUUACACUGACAUAAAUCAUGUUUUGAAAAGAACAAAACAAGAAAGCAAUACAAGCAAAAUGUCCAUAAGAACAACAGGAGGUCUAAGAAAAUGUGUUAAUAAAGUUUAAAAAUAAUACUUUGAUAGUGAUGGUAUUGUUUACUGUUUCAUGAACAAUUUCUGAAUAUUUUUUGUAAAGUUGUAACUUUUGUUUCUAAAACUUUGUAUCCAGGUAAUAAAAUUUUUUGCAACAUAGCGUUUCGUCAUAAGGCUGUGGCCCCGUGUUUCCUGUCCUGUUUCAGUCACAGACGGCGUGGAGUUAGUUUUAAGCAACAAGCGCAGAUCAGAAAUGACACUCAAGGUUACUCAUUGCUUUAAAAUGUGAAGGCAAGGGCCAUCAGAACACAACUGGUAUUGUAUCUUAUCAGCUCCAAUUCAAUAUGAAAUACUAUGUAUAAACCAUAAAGUAGACAAUAUUGCAUCAAAAAUAAUGAAAAUAAUAUUGCUAGUCAUUUGUAACAUUAUUUAUUAUUAAUUCACAAUCAGCAAUAAAUAUAUAUGCAUAAUAUAUGUAUAUGUGCAUGUAUAUUCUGUAAAUACAUACAUAAACAAUAUUAGCAAUGAGUAUAGAAAAAAUGACCAGAUUGCUUCAUAUUUUGCAUAAAGUAAAUAACUAGUUCAUUUUGUUGGGAGCUGAAGGAGUGUUAGUGUAACGGUAUGUGUUUACGACCCGUAAAUACUGCAACACACUCAUUGUGUCAGUGCCUCAACACCCUUUAAGAAUUCAAGAACCUUUUUUUUAACCUGAUAACAGGGAUGACAUCAUUCAAUAUUUAUCUUUUGUAUUUGUUUCUGACAGCUGCUCAGGUAUAAAAAAGGAUCUGGUUAAGGUCAAAUGAUGAAGCUCUGUUUAUCUUGAAAUGCUUACAUACCUGUAGUAUUUUAUCUUGUAAAGAAACGUCAUGGAUCUUUAAAUCAUCAUUAAUGACAGAGAAGUACUGGCAUCAAAGUGGGAAGUGGUUGUAUUACUAAACUAAUUUAAAUAUUAUGCAUGUCUCUGGCUGAUCAGUCAGAUCACAAUGUUCCUCCUGUGCAUUCAUACAUAUAAACUGUCUAAAUAACAGCAUUGUUUGUCUGAGAGUUUUCAUGGAUGGAAACUUACAGCAGGGGGCAGCAACUCAUCAUGUUGGGAGAUAAAAACGAUGUAAGGUCUAGCACAGGUUUCUUCUUAUAUGUAAGGCAAGCGGACACAUAUUUGUGAUGGCGCAAUCUUUCAGACUAUUUUGAUGAUACUCCUUCACAUUUACAUCAGGCCUGGUUCAAACACUGCAUUUAUGAUUCCAUUUAAACCACAUUUUCAGCAAUGUUGUUUUUUUACAAAUACGCAAAGUGUGUUACAAAGUGGUUAGUAAUGUUAGUAGGAUAUGAGUGUAUUCCUUUAAAACUCUCUUGUACAAAGAAACAUUGUGUGCAGACACUGUGUGCAUUAGAUCCAUCACGUCAUACAGGUUGUGUGUCUGUGCCAGAGACAGAAAGAGCGAAACACACACCGCAGUGGACCUUCAUUCCAGCAUCCUCCUGAUCUGCAUGGGUCAGACACACUGGGUUCUGCUCUGCCCCCCAUUUGAGCCCAAUGUGAUCCAGAUGACAGGGGGGUUUCCACAGGCAGAAGUUGGGGGGCCCGGGGUCUUCAUGGGUCAGCGGUAAUUCACCGCAGAGCUCUGAAAGCAGAGUCUUAACACACACAAAACCCCGCACAGAAAAGUGAGGCUCCACUUAAAGUCUUAAAUAUCACACAAACCUCAGUUCAAAGGCAGGUAUGUUUGCAUGAAAAGCCUUAAUCGGCUUAAUGAUGUCCUCUAGCGCAUGGUUAGUUUUGAAAACACACUAAUGCUCAAGUUUAUACAGGCUUGGAUACCACAGAGACAUUUAUGUCCCAAAGACAGAGAGAGGCAGAGACCGAGAGCUUGUGUGUGUGUGUGUGUGUGUGUGUGUGUGUUGAUGUAGGCAAUCAGUAAUUUCCACAAUUAUCUAAUUGUGUCAGAAUUUCUGCAGGUUUUUUUUUUUUUACCAAUUAUCCAUUUCCGUUUUCUUCUUUGUUUGAAUAAAAUAAGGAAUGUCUUAGCACACUGCUCAUGUGUGCGUGCGUAAUUAUGUGUGCAAUCCAGAAGCAGCCCUCUGUAACCAGAGCUUCCAUCAUAUGGAGGAUGCCUGCUGAAAUAACAGCUCCGCUACUUCCAGCGGAAUUUGUGUGUAGGCUGUAAAAGAUGGCGAGGAAGAAGAAGAAGAAAACCUAAGCCCGGGAAGUAUUUCUCUUUGUGGCACUGUAAUCAGCAGUGCUCUGCCCUGUAGAGCUUAAAAUAGUAAAACCACUGAAAGACAGUUCAAGGACUGAAAAGAGAUCGCUCUCGCUGCAAGUGUGUAUUUUUAUGUGUCGCUGCUUCCUGAAUGAAGAUGUGAAUCUAGUUACAAUAUUCUUCAGGUUUUCUAUUUUUAGGGGAAAAAGUCUUUUCUAGGCCUGCUGUAUGUGCGCUGUUGUUUAAGAACCUUUACAACCAGUGUCCUGUUUCUACAUACAUUUGCAAAACUGCCCAUGCAAGUUAAUGGAGACUUCCUAUUCAGUUCGGUCUGGAUAAGAAACAGACAAGUUACACAUGUAAAGAAGAGGAACAAGCAGAAGGAAGAGGGGGUUCCUUUUCUAUCGGGUAGAGAGCAGCUGAAAAAGGAGUGCUCGUAGCAGUAAAGCAAACCCAGGGCAUUAAAGAAACAAAAAGAACUAAAACUGAAACCAGGCUAGAAGUCCAACUUAUACAUUAUAUGUACAGGUGCAACAGUCUUGAAUCAAAUGGUCUCGCACCAACCAUCAGAAAUCAGUCUUUUUAGCGGUUGUGUCUUGCUGGGAAACGCUGAGUCCAACUCUUCCACCAGUUCCACAGACAAUUCCAA
Molecule: long non-coding RNA, 5829 nt
Organism: Oreochromis niloticus (Nile tilapia)
Lineage: Eukaryota; Metazoa; Chordata; Actinopteri; Cichliformes; Cichlidae
Source: Ensembl